RNAcentral lists this long non-coding RNA (3057 nucleotides) under Neodiprion lecontei (redheaded pine sawfly). Its description in RNAcentral is "uncharacterized LOC124293354". The stretch from base 284 to 369 matches the Rfam family "mir-46/mir-47/mir-281 microRNA precursor family". The record is from RNAcentral. Lineage: Eukaryota; Metazoa; Arthropoda; Insecta; Hymenoptera; Diprionidae.
GAAAAAAAAAAAAAAAAAAAAAAAAAACAAAAAAAAAAAAUUAAAAACAAGAGGCAAGGAAAGGCGUAAGAUUCGAUCGUCGAUACAGGGCGGAUCCUAGAUCCCCGCGAUCCAUGGAUCUUUCAUAGAUUACGCAGCUGUAACAAGAAGUCGACCACCUGUUGAAUCCGCACGCGAACCGCCAGCAGCAGUUAUUUCAUUAACCGAAAACAUCGGAAAUUAUACCCGACGAGAAGAAAUUUUACCGCCGAUGGAAAGAGGAAAGGAAAUCAAUACAGCAAAGUGGCGGGCGCUAUGAAGAGAGCUAUCCAUCGACAGUAUGGUAAUGUUUGACACUGUCAUGGAGUUGCUCUCUUUGUCGACGCCGCCUGAUUCAACUCACGUCUUUGUAUCGUACGUCAUUAUAGCAGAACGUCGAAGAAGAAGAAAUUGGAAAGAUUUCCCGGCGAGAUGAAAGAUGAAAAUCGCCAGAACAACUGUAUACUUUUAUCAUUACGAUACUUUACGAUAUAUGCAUCUUUUGAAUUGAAAUUAACGUGCUCGUUAUAUUUUUCUACCGAUUUGGUGUUUUUUGUUGUUUUUUUUUUUUUUUUUUUGUUUGUUUUUCUCGUGGUUAACAAAGAAAUUUGUACUAAUUGUCGAUUACUAAGAGUGUUCUGCACCGAUCUAACCUAGUCUGACAAUGAAACGAAGCGGAAAAUCUUUAAACUGACCGUGAGUCGGGCCUCGCACCUUUCGUUUUCAAACUGCAGGUUCGAAGUUAAGAGAACAAAAAAUAUAAAUGUAAAAUUCGAAUUUUAAACUACAAAUUCAAAUUCACGAUCAUCGUUAUCAUUUUAUUUUUUGGAAUUUUUCAACUUAAAUAAUUCACAAAAUACCGAAACGAUCAAACGACCAAAAUCUAAUCAGUUCCAAGUUUGAAAAAGCCGCGUUGAUCGUGACAAAAAUCAUUGAAAUCCGGCAACUCGUUCUCGAGAUAUCGGCGGACAAAAAAAAAAAUUGAAAAACUUAACUUUCCAUUUUCGGGGUGAUCACAAUAACAUCCUUUUUUCCCUUGAAAACAGAGAAACGGGAACAGUUAAUAACCAGAUAAAAUAUCCCACGACUAUAAACACAACGCAAUUGAAAAUCGUAUCGACGAGACCGCAGCGAAUCGGUCAAGCAUAAAAAGGCGGCCGACCAACGAGCGUCUAGAUCACUGUGACGGGCUGAUCAAGACGGGUCUAGAUCACUGCGGCGAUGAAACAACAGCGAAUAAGCGUGCGAGAAGCGAAGGGGUCUGGAUUAAUACUCGCCUAGAUCACUGCGAAUGGCCGAUCGAGACGAGUCUGAAUCACCGCAGCGGCGCGCGCGCGUCUCGCCGUAAUUAUGAACCAGGAAGCGAAUGAGAACAAGAUGACAAAAAAAAAAAUUAAACGAUCUUAAAACAAAAAGAAAAGAAGAGAUUCAAAAAUAAAAUCGGUAGCAAGAAUUUAUUACCGCUGGGUUCAAUUUCAUUCUGUAUUAAUCGUUUUCACGCCGAUGAUAAUAUCAUUUGUGAAAUGUUUCGUCGUCGAUAAGAAUCGCGAUUUUAUAGAUUUCGCUGUAAUACCUUUUUACAUAAUUUUAUUCCGCAAAUUUUUGCAUCAAAAAAGAAAUAAUAAUAAUACCCUCGAUAUCGCUGAUUAAAAUUUGUUCAAACCGUCGGUUUUUCGCAGAUUAUCGUACAAGUAAACGCUGCUCUUGCUUGCUGAAAGUCGAGCGUAAGGUAUGUGGAAACGGAUAUUAGUACCUGCGUUAUUACACGAUCACCGAGUAUACGUAUAGCAUACCUGUAUAGAGUAGAUACGGCCAACCCCGAGCCGUCUAAGCAAAGCGUUGGCGCAGCGAUUGCGGAGUGCGUACACGGUUAUAAAAACGCGCGUCAAGCGAAGGGCCGUUGACCUUCUUUCAUUGAUUGUGAGCGCAGGGUUUACGGAGAAACGUGCGUUUGCAGAUGCGUAAGUGUACCUGUACGCUGGACGUUUCUGCGGCUUUAAUUUGUUACAGUUGGACAUGCACGCGCAUUCGCAUUCGCCUGUAUGCUAAUAGUAAACUCAUAACGUCCCUGCCGCUGCGUUAUAAAAUACUCGCGGUUCGAGAUGCGGAAACGCUAAGCAAGCAUCCUGCGGGCGGAAACGUUUCAGGAUCCGUGGAACGUACAGGUCGGGUCGGAAACGCGACGAAAAGAAAGUUUUCGACAAAGUCAAGUCGCUGAUUAAGUUUAAUUGUCAACUUCAGAAAGUCUUUGCGAUACGGAAGACAUUCUGAUAUCGCUGAAUUCCAACCAAACUGGGUAAACACAGUUUUUAAACAAGGAAAGUACUUACGAAUUUUUAAACACUCGUAAUCUGCCCUAAUUAUAAAAUCAUAUUUAUUUCGAUUGUCGUUUCGACUUACCUUUUUUCAUUCAGGAUGCGUUGUUAUUUACAAUAAAUACCAGUUUAUUAAUUAUAAUAAAUAACGAAACACCCUGAAUCCAGAAAGGUAAUUCGAAAUGACAGACGUUCAAUUUUACUGGUAGUAGUUUUAACGCAAAAAAUAAAAAUCGUAUUACAAUAAAACUAUUCGUAUAUAAAAUAUUCCAAUAUAAAUUGUAUAAACUAAACCUUGUUACUAACAUAAUCGGUUAAAAGUUUUCACGUUAAACACAAAACUGAACUUUCGUUGACCAGUGCUAGCGAAGAAGUAACAUUUUUUCACAUAGUUUUUAGACCAAAUAAUCAGCAACAUAGUUCGUCCGAUGCUAAUAAAAAAUAGCACAUUUUAUUCAUAAAAAUGCAGUUACGUAUUCGAAGAUCAGAAAUACUUUUAAACUCGUACAACACAGUCUAGCAAACACAUAAAUAUUUUAUUUUGUUUCUUUUUCGUCACAUCAUCUGACGUCUGAGUCGUUUAAAAAUUAUGUACAGGUAUACAAAGAGUCUAGAAUACACUUCUGUAUUACGUAUGCACGCGCAAUAAUUAUCGUUAUUGAAACUUCACCGACAGUUUGUACUCAGCUUGCAGAAUAAACAGUUGCCUCGUUAUUUUAUUUUA